RNAcentral lists this ribosomal RNA (301 nucleotides) under uncultured bacterium. RNAcentral describes it as "partial 16S ribosomal RNA". It matches the Rfam family "Bacterial small subunit ribosomal RNA", at positions 509 to 807 of the family's 1533-position model. The record is from RNAcentral.
CAGCCGCCACGGUAAUACGGAGGGUGCAAGCGUUAAUCGGAAUUACUGGGCGUAAAGCGCACGCAGGCGGUUUGUUAAGUCAGAUGUGAAAUCCCCGAGCUUAACUUGGGAACUGCAUUUGAAACUGGCAAGCUAGAGUCUUGUAGAGGGGGGUAGAAUUCCAGGUGUAGCGGUGAAAUGCGUAGAGAUCUGGAGGAAUACCGGUGGCGAAGGCGGCCCCCUGGACCUGUACUGACGCUCAUGCACGAAAGCGUGGGGAGCAAACAGGAUUAGAUACCCCUGUAGUCCCUGUCUCUUAUAC